UGCAGGUGUACAAUGUAGUGAUUCAUCAUUCCGUACAUCGCCCGGCGCUCAUUGCAACAGGUGCACUCCUUUAUCCCCGUCACGUAUUUCACCCAUCCCCCUCACCCCCCACGCCACAAAAGCCAUUCUUACAAAUCUCUUGUUUUUAUGUUCUAGAACCAUCCAUGGCUACAGCAAAACUCAGGGAAUAAUGUUAGUCAAUUAACAGCUGCCAAGUUACCUAGAGGAGCAGAUGCACAUACGCUGUCAUUCUACAGAGAAAGACAUACUUCUGCUUUACUUCAUGCCACUUCCUCUGCCCCAGUUUAUUUUCCCAGCACAGAAGUCCUACUGUUUCCUGGUUUUCUUUCAUUCUUUGACCACACAAUGGCCUCUUCACGCCUUUGAGGUAUGACAAGGUAAACUUGCACAGACAACCUGCGUUUUCAUGAGAUAACCUAUCCAGUGUCACGGGUUCUCACCAGCCAGACUUGCCCUCAACACGUUUAGCUCGGCCAGCAGUUGAGAAAAAAAUAAGAAACUUAACAUUUUUAAGCCCAGUGGUCUCAAGUUCUUGGGCUCCACCUCUCCGUACGUCUUCCACCAGGCCAGUUCAGACCUUUAUCCUGUACCUCAACUGUAAAGCCAAUGAGAGUACAAGGCCUGUCUGGUUCGCUCCUUAACCACUGCAGGAUCCUACAAAUUUCAGCCUGAUAAGAUAUACGGGAGAUCUUCAAACUUUUGUCCCAAUCUGCCAUAAAGGCACAUACAUGUGUUUGUAACUGAAGAGAACUGUUUCAUGAAAUAAACUUUGACCACAG
Mustela erminea (ermine) is the source of this 800-nucleotide long non-coding RNA. RefSeq lists it as uncharacterized. The record is from RefSeq and is a predicted model, not a curated record. The transcript has 3 exons. NCBI's taxonomy places the organism in Eukaryota, Metazoa, Chordata, Mammalia, Carnivora, Mustelidae.